Molecule: long non-coding RNA, 1627 nt
Organism: Raphanus sativus (radish)
Lineage: Eukaryota; Viridiplantae; Streptophyta; Magnoliopsida; Brassicales; Brassicaceae
Exons: 2
Source: RefSeq, a predicted model, not a curated record
ACCAAUUGAGUUAAUCUCUCUUGUUUUCUCCGUCCUCUCUCUACAAAACCAGUCCGACAUCUCCUUCCGUUCACCGGCUCCGGCUGCUCGCAUAGAGCUGGAGCUGGGUUUAGAUUCUCUCUUUUGAUAAAUAUUUCCAGACUUCAUUCCUUUCUAUGGGCAGAUUUCUCUAGAUUCAGUUCUAGUUUCAAUCUGCUCCCGUAUGAUUGUGAAUGGUCUGAUGAUUUUCUUUAUACAGUUCAAGCUUCUUCUAGACAUCUCCGGUUAGGUCUUUUCCUACCCGAUUGUUCUGAUCCAGUCUAUUUUGCCUUCCGUUCUUUGCAUGUUGGAUUAGAGUUACUUUGGUUUCUUCACCGGUUCGAUCUUCUGUCUCCUGUCUCCGUGCAUGCGUCAGAAUCUGGUGUUGAUUGCAUUCGCUCCUUGUCUUUAACCUAUUAGAUCUGAUCGAGAUCUGUUCUUUAGUAAGCUUCAAGCAGGCGUUUCAAGUCAGUCAUCCCUUCGACUCCGCCGUCUCCGGUUUGUAGACAGGAAAAUAAAUUGUUCCUUUGAUCUCCUGGAUCUUGCUGCUUUGAACUUUCAAUUGUUUGGGCCAUUCACUAUAGGAGGUUUCUUUUCUCGGUGGUUUGAUCAAGUUUGUCUCCAUCGUUUCUCCAAAGUUCUCUUUUAAGUCCACAUGCAAUUUGUUCUAUUUCCAUUCUGGAUCUAUUUGUAAUUGUUCUAGAUGUCUCAGUUGUAAGUUUGUGUUGUAUCUAUCUUCGGCUGGUUUUUAUGUUUCAUAUUGUCUCCCUCUUGUGGGCUUCUCUUUCCGGGGAGGUUGUUUACUCCGUCGGACUGUAUUUCCGGGAUCACUUGUCAUCGCCGGCCUAGUUGUAACAAUGGGUUUGAAGUUAAUAUAAUGAUCUUUAGUGUGAAAAAAAAUUCUCCUUAUCCGCCUUUUGAUUUUACCAUUUAUUUUAGUUACUUCUCCGUGUUAUUCUUUUUGUCGUUUGCUUAGAUAUUUUGUUUGUAACUUUUGUGUUACGUUUGAUAAAAAAAAAGCUUUUGUGUUACAGAGGGCGCCUCAGAAUCCAGAAUCCAAAAUGCAAAAAGGAAAAAAAAAAGCAAAUGGAGAAGAAUACAAGGAAGCCUUUGGCCUCUUCGACAAAGAUGGCGAUGGUUUAUAAGCCGAUAUUUAUUUUUCCAUAAAGGAAGCAUGGCUCUGGCUGCUGAGCUACGCCAUGUGAUAACCAAUCUCGGUGAGAAGCUAACAGAUGAGGAAGUUGAAGAGAUGGUCCGUGAGGAUGAUGUCGAUGGAGAUGGUCAGAUAAACUAUGAAGAGUUUGUCAAGAUUAUGAUGGCUAAGUGAUGGAAGAAAGGUGGUGGAUGAUGAAUUGAUGAUGACAUGACCUUUUUUCUAAUUAGACAGAGAUUUGAGGCAGAAACAGUAUUUGCUCUUUGGUUUAUGAUUUUAUGGUAUGGAAAACAAUUAUAUUGGUUUGAGAAGCUAAACUGCGUGUUCAGUAAAGGGAAGGUAGCGUAAGCAAAUGUUUUUCUACCGUCCGCUCCAUUAUUCCUGUACGAUUAUCUCCAAGCCACUUAUGAAAACGCGUCCAAUCAAGACAAAUAGGUGGCCAUGGACUUUAUUUUU